Molecule: ribosomal RNA, 459 nt
Filed under: uncultured bacterium
Lineage: Bacteria
Description: partial 16S ribosomal RNA
Rfam family: Bacterial small subunit ribosomal RNA
Source: RNAcentral
CCUACGGGUGGCAGCAGUGAGGAAUAUUGGUCAAUGGCCGGGAGGCUGAACCAGCCAAGUCGCGUGAGGGAAGACGGCCCUACGGGUUGUAAACCUCUUUUGUCAGGGAGCAAGGUGCAGGUCGGGACCUGCUGUGAGAGUACCUGAAGAAAAAGCAUCGGCUAACUCCGUGCCAGCAGCCGCGGUAAUACGGAGGAUGCGAGCGUUAUCCGGAUUUAUUGGGUUUAAAGGGUGCGCAGGCGGAGGCACAAGUCAGCGGUAAAAUCGCGGGGCUCAACCCCGCUCCGCCGUUGAAACUGUGUCCCUUGAGUGCGCGAAGGGUAGGCGGAAUGCGUGGUGUAGCGGUGAAAUGCUUAGAUAUCACGAAGAACUCCGAUUGCGAAGGCAGCUUACUAAACUGCCACUGACAUUGAUGCUCGAAAGUGUGGGUAUCAAACAGGAUUAGAUACCCUUGUAGUC